Molecule: unclassified non-coding RNA, 253 nt
Filed under: uncultured fungus
Lineage: Eukaryota; Fungi
Description: sequence contains ITS1
Source: RNAcentral
GUUCAAGUGGUUGAGUUUGUUAAGUUUCAUUCAGUUUGGUUGGGUACGAUAGAGGAGAAACAGAGCUUCUCCCCUACCACACUAGUCGCGCGAGUCUUAGCGAACUAAGACCACCACUAGUUCUGCGCUGCAGAGAGCACUAACUCCUCACAGAGUUAGCCACUCCAGCUCGAGCCUGAGCUCUCGCUUGUUGUCACUCGACUAACGUCGAUGUCAACAGGUAAUGAUCCUUCCGCAGGUUCACCUACGGAAA